CUCAGGCAAUCAGCGUCUGGGGGGGGCAGCCCCCCAGUCUGGCUUGACAACGACGACCGCAGCAGCAACAGAGAUCGUGCCAAUAGCAAUAGGCGCCGUGGGCGCAACUCAGAACACCUGGAGCACCACUGGGAGAGCAUCGGCGCUGGCAAAACCGGUCCACUGCAAAAGGCAGCUGUACCUGGAACAACUCACACCCUGCCGCCAUAGCUUGAAUCUUAUCAAACAUCUGCCUGCCCCAGGUCCUUGGGAAGGACUCAACAGAAACUGUUGGUGAGAGUUGCACACGUUGCUAUGGUUCUCUUGGCAUAUGCUAAUUUGGACACACUUGGGAGAACACCUGUAGGCUGCAAAGACCAUUGAUCAGGAACUGUGACUUCUGUCCUUUGUUCAGCAGAAGCAAAAAUGCUGUUGAGGAGAAGCUACGCUCUGACACAGUUGCUGUGACCCCAGUCCAGGAAAGCAUGAUGGAAAUAAG
This is a long non-coding RNA of Python bivittatus (Burmese python), 478 nucleotides long. RefSeq lists it as uncharacterized. NCBI's taxonomy places the organism in Eukaryota, Metazoa, Chordata, Lepidosauria, Squamata, Pythonidae. The record is from RefSeq and is a predicted model, not a curated record.